RNA transcript from Mirounga angustirostris (Northern elephant seal), 5604 nucleotides. It is a transcript of the gene named UPF1 RNA helicase and ATPase, with no coding region annotated. Lineage: Eukaryota; Metazoa; Chordata; Mammalia; Carnivora; Phocidae. The record is from RefSeq and is a predicted model, not a curated record. The transcript is spliced from 24 exons.
GCGCACGGCGGCGGCGGCGGCGGCGGUUCCUGCCGGGGGCUGCGAGCGGCGGGCGGCUCCGAGGGGAGCAGCGGCGCUGAGGGGCUCGGCGGCAGCGGCGGCGGCUCGGCACGCGUGGCUCUUGGUCCGGCUCGCGCCGCGGCGGGCGUUUCAACCCGGUUCAGGAGCGUGGGCGCGGCGGCGGCGGCGGCCCGAGGCCUGCGGCCUAGGCCUCAGCGCGGCGGCGGGCUCGAGUGCGGCGCGGAGCCGGCCUGAGGGCCCUACUCGGCGGCACCAUGAGCGUGGAGGCGUACGGGCCCAGUUCUCAGACGCUCACCUUCCUGGACACCGAGGAAGCCGAGCUGCUCGGCGCCGACACACAGGGCUCGGAGUUCGAGUUCACCGACUUUACCCUCCCCAGCCAGACGCAGACGCCCCCGGGUGGCCCCGGCGGCCCCGGAGGAGGUGGCGCGGGCGGCCCGGUCGGCGCGGGCGCGGGUUCUGCGGCCGGACAGCUGGACGCGCAGGUUGGUGGACCAGAGGGCAUUCUGCAGAAUGGGGCCGUGGAUGACAGCGUGGCCAAGACCAGCCAGUUGUUGGCUGAGUUGAACUUUGAAGAAGAUGAAGAAGAUACUUACUACACGAAGGAUCUCCCUGUGCAUGCCUGCAGUUACUGCGGAAUACACGAUCCUGCUUGCGUGGUUUACUGUAACACCAGCAAGAAGUGGUUCUGUAACGGGCGUGGAAAUACUUCUGGCAGCCACAUUGUAAAUCACCUCGUGAGGGCAAAAUGCAAAGAGGUGACUCUGCACAAGGAUGGGCCCCUGGGGGAGACAGUUCUGGAGUGCUACAACUGUGGCUGCCGAAAUGUCUUCCUCCUUGGCUUCAUCCCUGCCAAGGCCGACUCGGUGGUGGUGCUGCUGUGCAGGCAGCCCUGCGCCAGUCAAAGCAGCCUCAAGGACAUCAACUGGGACAGCUCCCAGUGGCAGCCCCUGAUCCAGGACCGUUGCUUCCUCUCCUGGCUGGUCAAGAUCCCUUCUGAGCAAGAGCAGCUGCGGGCCCGGCAGAUCACCGCCCAGCAGAUCAACAAGCUGGAGGAGCUCUGGAAGGAAAACCCUUCUGCCACCUUGGAGGACCUGGAGAAGCCAGGCGUGGACGAGGAGCCGCAGCACGUCCUCCUGCGGUACGAGGAUGCCUACCAGUACCAGAACAUAUUCGGCCCUCUGGUCAAGCUGGAGGCCGACUACGAUAAGAAACUGAAAGAGUCCCAGACUCAAGAUAACAUCACGGUCAGGUGGGACCUGGGCCUUAACAAGAAGAGAAUCGCCUACUUCACUUUGCCCAAGACUGACUCUGGUAAUGAGGAUUUAGUCAUAAUUUGGUUAAGAGACAUGCGGCUCAUGCAGGGGGAUGAGAUAUGCCUGAGGUACAAAGGGGAUCUGGCACCCCUGUGGAAAGGGAUCGGCCACGUCAUCAAGGUCCCUGAUAAUUAUGGCGAUGAGAUCGCCAUUGAGCUUCGGAGCAGUGUGGGUGCGCCCGUGGAGGUGACUCACAACUUCCAGGUGGAUUUCGUGUGGAAGUCAACCUCGUUUGAUAGGAUGCAGAGCGCGCUGAAAACAUUUGCUGUGGAUGAGACCUCUGUCUCGGGCUACAUCUACCACAAGCUGCUCGGGCACGAGGUGGAGGAUGUGAUCAUCAAGUGCCAGCUGCCGAAGCGCUUCACGGCACAGGGGCUCCCUGACCUCAACCAUUCGCAGGUUUACGCUGUCAAGACUGUGCUGCAGAGACCGCUGAGCCUGAUCCAGGGACCACCAGGCACGGGGAAGACGGUGACCUCUGCCACCAUCGUCUACCACCUUGCUCGGCAGGGCAAUGGGCCUGUGCUCGUCUGUGCUCCGAGUAACAUAGCUGUGGAUCAGCUGACUGAGAAGAUCCACCAGACUGGGCUGAAAGUCGUGCGGCUCUGCGCGAAGAGCCGUGAGGCCAUUGACUCCCCAGUGUCCUUCCUGGCCCUGCACAACCAGAUCAGGAAUAUGGAUAGCAUGCCGGAGCUGCAGAAGUUACAGCAGCUGAAGGACGAGACGGGGGAGCUGUCCUCUGCUGACGAGAAGCGGUACCGGGCCCUGAAGCGCACCGCCGAGAGGGAGCUGCUCAUGAAUGCAGAUGUCAUCUGCUGCACGUGUGUGGGUGCAGGGGACCCGAGGCUCGCCAAGAUGCAGUUCCGUUCCAUUUUAAUUGAUGAGAGCACCCAGGCCACCGAACCAGAGUGCAUGGUCCCUGUGGUCCUUGGCGCCAAGCAGCUCAUCCUCGUGGGUGACCACUGUCAGCUGGGCCCCGUGGUGAUGUGCAAGAAGGCAGCCAAGGCCGGACUAUCUCAGUCACUCUUCGAGCGCCUGGUGGUGCUGGGCAUCCGUCCCAUCCGCCUGCAGGUCCAGUAUCGGAUGCACCCUGCGCUCAGCGCCUUCCCAUCCAACAUCUUCUACGAGGGCUCUCUCCAGAAUGGCGUCACGGCAGCGGACCGAGUGAAGAAGGGGUUUGACUUCCAGUGGCCCCAACCUGAUAAGCCGAUGUUCUUCUACGUGACCCAGGGCCAAGAGGAGAUCGCUAGCUCAGGCACCUCCUACCUGAACAGGACGGAAGCUGCCAACGUGGAGAAGAUCACCACGAAGUUGUUGAAGGCGGGCGCCAAGCCUGACCAGAUCGGCAUCAUCACCCCGUACGAGGGCCAGCGCUCCUACCUGGUGCAGUACAUGCAGUUCAGCGGCUCCCUGCACACCAAGCUCUACCAGGAGGUGGAGAUUGCCAGCGUGGACGCAUUCCAGGGGCGAGAGAAGGACUUCAUCAUCCUUUCCUGUGUGCGAGCCAACGAGCACCAAGGCAUCGGAUUUUUAAACGACCCCAGGCGACUUAAUGUGGCCCUGACCAGAGCGAGGUAUGGGGUCAUUAUUGUGGGCAACCCAAAGGCCCUGUCCAAGCAGCCGCUCUGGAACCACCUGCUGAACUACUACAAGGAGCAGAAGGUGCUGGUGGAGGGGCCCCUGAACAACCUGCGGGAGAGCCUCAUGCAGUUCAGCAAGCCCAGGAAGCUGGUCAACACCAUCAACCCGGGAGCCCGCUUCAUGACAACAGCCAUGUAUGAUGCUCGGGAGGCCAUUAUCCCAGGAUCCGUCUAUGAUCGGAGCAGCCAGGGCCGGCCCUCAAACAUGUACUUCCAGACCCACGACCAGAUCGGCAUGAUCAGUGCAGGCCCCAGCCAUGUGGCCGCCAUGAACAUUCCCAUCCCCUUCAACCUUGUCAUGCCCCCCAUGCCCCCACCAGGGUAUUUUGGACAAGCGAACGGGCCAGCAGCAGGCCGGGGUACCCCAAAAGGCAAGACUGGUCGUGGGGGGCGCCAGAAGAACCGCUUUGGGCUCCCUGGACCCAGCCAGACGAAUCUCCCCAACAGCCAGGCCAGCCAGGACGUGGCGUCCCAGCCAUUCUCCCAGGGCGCCCUGACCCAGGGCUACAUCUCCAUGAGCCAGCCCUCCCAGAUGAGCCAGCCUGGCCUCUCCCAGCCCGAGCUGUCCCAGGACAGUUACCUUGGCGAUGAGUUUAAGUCACAGAUCGAUGUGGCGCUGUCGCAAGACUCCACGUACCAAGGGGAGCGGGCAUACCAGCACGGCGGAGUGACAGGGCUGUCCCAGUACUAGAAGGCAAGCUGACCCCUGCAGGAGGUCUUCAUCGUCGGGAUCUGGACUUGAUGGGAAAUCAGGGAAAUGUGUGGUGGCAGCGGAAGAGCUAAGCUAUGUGGCUUAGUCCAUCAGCAUCUUAUUCUGGGUAAUAAAAAAUAAAAAUAAAUGGAUACCUGUUUUCCACUGCUAAAACUGAAGCACCACUGUGAGCAACAGGAGAGGGAGAGGAGCACCCGAGGGAGAGAGGAGCCCGAGACCGAGCGAGCGCCCACUGCUGGCCCGCGGCGGCGAGGAGAAGGAGAAGGGAGAGCGGGAGGCGGGCGGCCGCGGAGGACCGUCCGCCAGCGAGCCCUGCCAGGCUGCCCCGCUCGCCAAGGAGGCCCAGCGCUCGCCGCGUGCACACCUGGGUCUGCGACCAGGGCGGAGGGAGGCACACCCUCAUCUCAGAGUAGCCCUUUCCUCUGUUCUUUUCUUUCUGUUUCUCUUUUCUUGAAAGGGGACUACGUUUUAGCAGGAAAAACUUCGCAUUUCUGUGCCGAGCAGGCUCCUUGCCGAGGCAGCCGUGCUGGGAGAGCCCCGCGGAGGUGUGGGUUCUGUCCACGCCAGCUCUGCAACGGCCCUGGUCACGCUGCCUGUGUUCUAAGAGGGUUUCAUUUGAAGAAAACACGGUGUUUGGGGUUUUUGUUUGUUUUUUAAAGAUUCUUUCAAAUGAGUACUGAAAAAUAUACUUUCCUGAGUUUGUCUCCCAAAUCUUAGUGGUGGACCUGGGAGAUGUGAGAAGCUUCCAGAAACGAAGUUUAAACAAGCCAACACAUCUCAAGAUUAGGAUCAACACCUGUGACGGGAUCGCGAGGAGAAAUUUUGUUUUCAGUUUUAGCUUCCAGCGGCUUCUCCCUGCACGUCAGGGCUGUGAGGGAGCACGGUCUCGUCCCGGGCCAGGCAGCCCCACGGUGUCUCCGCUGGACUCUGAGAAGCCAAGUGCUUCCCGCGCGCCGCGGACUCGUGCCCCACCCACCCCUGGACGGGCCUUGGGCAGGACUGGCUGUGAGGCCAGAGGGUGGGGGGGUGGCUUCUUCCCCGGGGUCCUUCCUGAGGAUUUGGUGGAAGACCGCCGCCAAGAGGACCCAUCCCCAGGGAGGCGCCCACAGUGCCCGUGGCUGGUUGGACAUGCCGAGCGCCCCACCUGCCUUGUUCUCUACCCCACCCUCCGGGUUGGGAGACCUCCUACCUGUGGGUAUGGCUGUGAUGGGGUGGGGUGAUUUCUGCUUUUUUGGGGUAAAGGAGUUUCAGAAAUAAGUUGGUUCUACGCCGAAGGGGCUUGGAGCAGUUCGUCACAUCAGCUAGUAGAGGGGGCUUCUGUCUGGAGGGGUCUGGGCCACAACUCCAGAAAUUACUGUAGCUGGGAGAGCCAUCCCCAGCUCCUUGCACACCACUGUGGGGGUGGUAGUCUCCCUGACAACCACCUACUUGGGGACCAUCCCCUGCCUACCCAGGCCCUGGUGACCCUGACCAUACCCCCCCCCCCCCAGCGUCCCCGUCCCUGUGAGGCUGACACUGGCCCUUAUCAAAGCCUCCAGAUUCCAGCUUGUACUUGGGAGACGGGGACACACAGGCCACCUUCCUUCUGGCUAGGCCUCUUAUUUAUUACCAUUGCUGUAGGGCUUUCGGUUUCCCCCUUCUUUUGGUAGGCCACAUAGAGGCGUAGAGUUUGGAUAGGUUUCCGCUCUGACCCCCUGUGCGACACCCCGUGGGCAACCUGUGCCCACCUGCCCGCCCUGUUCUGUUCCUUGGAAUGCUUUGCCUCUGCUUUGUGCUGUUUGCUUUGUUCUCCACCUUAAUAGCAGCAGUUCUUGUUUUCCAAAUUGAGGGGCAUCUGUACCAAGGCAAUGUAACUUUUGAUUUCUGGUCGAUUUGUUUUAAGCUCUAUUGUCACCAAUAAAAUCUUAAUAAACAG